This 138-nucleotide ribosomal RNA is filed under the name uncultured eukaryote. Its description in RNAcentral is "partial 18S ribosomal RNA". It matches the Rfam family "Eukaryotic small subunit ribosomal RNA", at positions 1299 to 1458 of the family's 1831-position model. The record is from RNAcentral.
UGGUGGGGUGACUUGUCUGCUUAAUUGCGAUAACGAACGAGACCUUAACCUGCUAAAUAGCCCGCAUUGCCCCGGCCAGUGCGCUGGCUUCUUAGAGGGACUUUCGGCUCAAGCCGAAGGAAGUUUGAGGCAAUAACA